Molecule: long non-coding RNA, 435 nt
Organism: Eriocheir sinensis (Chinese mitten crab)
Lineage: Eukaryota; Metazoa; Arthropoda; Malacostraca; Decapoda; Varunidae
Exons: 3
Source: RefSeq, a predicted model, not a curated record
GAACUGCCUACCACGGCUAACGAGCUCCACCUGCCCGUGUUUGUUGUUCGGAGUUGUCCCUCUCCUAGGUGAACUGCCUACCACGGCUAACGAGCUCCACCUGCCCGGGUUUGUUGUUCGGAGUUUGCUCUCCUAGGUGAAUUGCCUACCACGGCUAACGAUCUUCACCUUCCCGGGUUUGUGAUCAGAGUUUUCCUUCUCCUAGGUGAACUGCCUUACGCUAACGACCUCCACCUGCCCGGGUUUGUAAUCAGAGUUUGCUCUCCUAGGUGAACUGCCUUACGCUAACGAGCUCCACCAGCCCGGGUUUAUUGUUCGGAGUUUGCUCUCCUAGGUGAAUUGCCUUACGCUAACGAGCUCCACCUGCCCGGGUUUAUUGUUCGGAGUUUGCUCUCCUAGGUGAAUUGCCUUACGCUAACGAGCUCCACCUGCCCG